This 74-nucleotide transfer RNA is filed under the name Rhodospirillaceae bacterium. RNAcentral's name for it is "tRNA-Gln". It matches the Rfam family "tRNA". From Rfam's summary of the family: Transfer RNA (tRNA) molecules are approximately 80 nucleotides in length. Their secondary structure includes four short double-helical elements and three loops (D, anti-codon, and T loops). Lineage: Bacteria; Pseudomonadati; Pseudomonadota; Alphaproteobacteria; Rhodospirillales; Rhodospirillaceae. The record is from RNAcentral.
UGGGGAAUAGUUUAACGGUAGAACAUCGGACUCUGACUCCGUCGGUCCUGGUUCGAAUCCAGGUUCCCCAGCCA